CCUACGGGGGGCAGCAGUGGGGAAUAUUGGACAAUGGGGGCAACCCUGAUCCAGCCAUGCCGCGUGUGUGAAGAAGGCCCUCGGGUUGUAAAGCACUUUCAGUGAGGAAGAACGCCUGGUGGUUAAUACCCAUCAGGAAAGACAUCACUCACAGAAGAAGCACCGGCUAACUCCGUGCCAGCAGCCGCGGUAAUACGGAGGGUGCGAGCGUUAAUCGGAAUUACUGGGCGUAAAGCGCGCGUAGGUGGCUUGAUAAGCCGGUUGUGAAAGCCCCGGGCUCAACCUGGGAACGGCAUCCGGAACUGUCAAGCUAGAGUGCAGGAGAGGAAGGUAGAAUUCCCGGUGUAGCGGUGAAAUGCGUAGAGAUCGGGAGGAAUACCAGUGGCGAAGGCAGCCUUCUGGACUGACACUGACACUGAGGUGCGAAAGCGUGGGUAGCAAACAGGAUUAGAUACCCCUGUAGUC
This 465-nucleotide ribosomal RNA is filed under the name Vreelandella stevensii. RNAcentral's name for it is "partial 16S ribosomal RNA". It matches the Rfam family "Bacterial small subunit ribosomal RNA", at positions 338 to 795 of the family's 1533-position model. The record is from RNAcentral. Lineage: Bacteria; Pseudomonadati; Pseudomonadota; Gammaproteobacteria; Oceanospirillales; Halomonadaceae.